UGCAGAUACAGAUUUCGGCGGCUAACUGGGCUGCCUUUUCAAAUCAUUUCUAUUGUGUUUUGGUUUUCAGUCUUCCAAACACCAACUUGCAUAAUACUUUUUCCAAUCCUUUCCUUCGUUUUGCCUUUCAGUCUUCCAAACAGCAACAUCCAUAUACAGCUCCUUGAUUAAUUUGGUGAGUCAACUCGGUUCCCAGUGACCCUUCCACAGUUCCUCUUCGUCUCUUUAUCUGUCUUCAUCCGAGUUACUGUGUUACUUCACACAGAAUUCAAUCGCCUUCUCCUCAUCAUCUUCCAUGUUCCUUUUCGAGAAAAUCUAAAGUCAAGAAGCAAAGGUACUAUGGCACGUUAAAAUUGCAACCAAAAUAAAUCAGAUUCUCAGAGAAGACGAGAGAAAUAAGGUAGUUCAAUUCAUCAGAGAAUUUACCACCGCUGCAAUGUAUGGGCCUAUUUAAGCCCUCAAUUUCGACCUUAUAAGCAAGUCAUGUACGUACGACUUAUCAGAGUUUAUGGUUUCAUCUCAUCGAUUACCUCCUUUUUCCCCGUAGAUGAGAACCUUAAUCUUCCCCUCGAAAUCUUAUAUUCCUCAUCCUCUCCUUCACCUACAAUU
This 609-nucleotide long non-coding RNA is filed under the name Panax ginseng (ginseng). RNAcentral describes it as "long non-coding RNA (PGIN_LNC006285)". The record is from RNAcentral. Lineage: Eukaryota; Viridiplantae; Streptophyta; Magnoliopsida; Apiales; Araliaceae.